AGAAAGUGGGCAGCGGCCUGCGCCAGUGGAAGCGGGUGUACGCCGCGCUGCUGGCGCGCUCGCUCUCGCUGAGCAAGGAGCGGCGGGAGCCCGGGCUGGCGGCGGCGGGGGCUGCGGCGGCCGGCGCAGGUGAGGACGAGGCGGCGCCCGUCUGCAUCGGCUCCUGCCUCGUGGACAUCUCCUACAGCGAGACCAAGAGGAGGCACGUGUUCCGGCUGACCACCGCUGACUUCUGUGAAUAUCCCUUUCAGGCUGAGGACCGGGAUGACAUGCUGGGCUGGAUCAGAGCGAUCCGGGAGAACAGCAGGGCCGAGGGCGAGGACCCCGGCUGUGCCAACCAAGCUCUGAUCAGCAAGAAGCUUAAUGAUUAUCGCAAAGUGAGCCAUAGCUCUGGGCCUAAAGCUGAUUCCUCCCCCAAAGGCUCUCGCGGCCUGGGGGGCCUCAAGUCUGAGUUCCUCAAGCAGAGUGCGGCACGUGGCCUCAGGACUCAGGACCUGCCUGCAGGGAGCAAGGAUGACAGUGCUGCAGCCCCCAAAACCCCCUGGGGCAUCAACAUCAUCAAGAAAAAUAAGAAGGCUGCCCCAAGGGCAUUUGGGGUCAGGCUGGAGGAGUGCCAGCCAGCCACGGAGAACCAGCAUGUCCCCUUAAUCGUGGCUGCACGCUGUCACAUUGUGGAGGCACGAGGGCUGGAGUCCACAGGCUUUUACCGAGUGCCUGGCAACAAUGCAGUGGUGUCCAGCCUACAGGAGCAGCUCAAUCCUGGGCCUGGUGACAUCAACCAGCAGGAUGAGCGCUGGCAAGACCUCAAUGUGAUCAACAGCCUGCUCAAGUCCUUCUUCCGAAAGCUGCCCGAGCCUCUUUUCACUGCUGGUGCCCUUCUCUUCUGACCUGCUGAACCUUGGUGUCCAUGUCCUGGAGACGGGGGCAUGGACCCCUUUUCUGCGAUCAGCAUGCACCUCAGGUCGUAUUGCCUCCCAAAUGAACACAGCUGGGCUACCCCAGGUCAGGUGCACACCCGAGUGUAGCUGUGACAAAUACAAUGACUUCAUCGAGGCCAACUGCAUUGAGGACG
Molecule: long non-coding RNA, 1072 nt
Filed under: Homo sapiens (human)
Lineage: Eukaryota; Metazoa; Chordata; Mammalia; Primates; Hominidae
Description: novel transcript
Source: RNAcentral